UCGGGAAUUUUGGGCAAUGGGCGAAAGCCUGACCCAGCAACGCCGCGUGAAGGAUGAAGUAUUUCGGUAUGUAAACUUCGAAAGAAUGGGAAGAAUAAAUGACGGUACCAUUUAUAAGCUCCGGCUAACUACGUGCCAGCAGCCGCGGUAAUACGUAGGGAGCAAGCGUUGUUCGGAUUUACUGGGCGUAAAGGGCGCGUAGGCGGCGCGGUAAGUCACUUGUGAAAUCUCUGAGCUUAACUCAGAACGGCCAAGUGAUACUGCAGUGCUAGAGUGCAGAAGGGGCAAUCGGAAUUCUUGGUGUAGCGGUGAAAUGCGUAGAUAUCAAGAGGAACACCUGAGGUGAAGACGGGUUGCUGGGCUGACACUGACGCUGAGGCGCGAAAGCCAGGGGAGCAAACGGGGAUUAGAUACCCAUGUAGCCCUGAGCGGGCUGGCAAGGCGCAU
Molecule: ribosomal RNA, 447 nt
Filed under: uncultured bacterium
Lineage: Bacteria
Description: bacterial SSU rRNA
Rfam family: Bacterial small subunit ribosomal RNA
Source: RNAcentral